CCUACGGGUGGCAGCAGUGAGGAAUAUUGGUCAAUGGGCGCGAGCCUGAACCCGCCAAGUAGCGUGAAGGAUGACUGCCCUACGGGUUGUAAACUUCUUUUAUAAAGGAAUAAAGUGAGGCACGUGUGCCUUUUUGUAUGUUCUUUAUGAAUACGGAUCGGCUAACUCCGUGCCAGCAGCCGCGGUAAUACGGAGGAUCCGAGCGUUAUCCGGAUUUAUUGGGUUUAAAGGGAGCGUAGAUGGGUUGUUAAGUCAGUUGGGAAAGUUUGCGGCUCAACCGUAAAAGUGCAAUUGAUACUGGCAGUCUUGAGUACAGUUGAGGUAGGCGGAAUUCGUGGUGUAGCGGGGAAAUGCUGAGAGAUCACGAAGAACACCGAUUGCGAAGGCAGCUUACUAAACUGCCACUGACAUUGAUGCUCGAAAGUGUGGGUAUCAAACAGGAUGAGAUACCCGUGUAGUC
RNAcentral lists this ribosomal RNA (460 nucleotides) under uncultured bacterium. RNAcentral's name for it is "partial 16S ribosomal RNA". It matches the Rfam family "Bacterial small subunit ribosomal RNA", at positions 338 to 795 of the family's 1533-position model. The record is from RNAcentral.